This 921-nucleotide long non-coding RNA is filed under the name Chinchilla lanigera (long-tailed chinchilla). RNAcentral describes it as "lncRNA (ENSCLAG00000027468.1)". Lineage: Eukaryota; Metazoa; Chordata; Mammalia; Rodentia; Chinchillidae. The record is from RNAcentral.
ACUGACUAUGAGACACUUUAUAACGAGCUGUUCAGCGAUGCAGUGCCUUCUUCCCACCCUCACUUGUCUAAUAAGUCCCCUGCAGACAGGGAAGUGUUAUACUAAUCCCCACACACUUGCUGACUUCCACUGUGGCUAAACCACAGUAGCUGCUCUGUGAAUGUGUGCCUCCAAGCUUCUAGGCAGCAUAAGGGAAACAAUGACCAGCACAGCAUGCAUCUAAGUUUUUUUCUUACUAAAAUGUUCUAUAUUGUUGUACCUACCAAUGUUUGCGUGGCUCUUUAGAGUUUACAAGGGACUCUUCACUUGAUCCUUCCUUGUAACAGCACUGGAAGGUAAUUACUAUUAUGCUUCCCAUUUUGUGGAUUAUGAAUCUGAGCUCACAGGGGUUAAGUGUCUUGCUCAAGAGCUUCCUUUUUUUAAGGCUGGAAUUAAUUCUUGCUGUGCUAUCAUGAGGUAGCCCCCGGGCUAAAACUUCUGCACCUAGUAUGGGCUGAGGAAGUGUGAGAACUUCUGAAGGAAUUGGAAUUACCUCCCAGAAGAUCAACGGAAGGCCCAGACUGCAGCCAGGACGGCGAGGAUUGCCUGUGCCUGCAGCUCCCAAUUCAGCUGGGAUGCUGGUGCUGCAGCAGCUGUGUGACUUAGCACAUGUUUCUGGGUGGUCUGCCAGAUUGCCUGAAGUUGACAGCAUCACGCAGAGUGAGCUCCUGCGUGGGAUCCCUACAGUGUGUGGGCACAAAGCCUCUGGAAUACAGUUUCCAGGAUACAAGCUCGGUGAAAGCAGACAGCCUUCUCUCUUGUGGCCUGAAGAACGCCUGCCUCCAGAGAAGUCAUCAGGGAGGAGGGAGAGUAUGGUUGCUGUCUGAGCAGGUGUGGAUGCCAUGUCCAGCAAAGGGUUGCCAUGAAGCUUCACUGGGUUGA